This 253-nucleotide ribosomal RNA is filed under the name uncultured bacterium. Its description in RNAcentral is "partial 16S ribosomal RNA". It matches the Rfam family "Bacterial small subunit ribosomal RNA", at positions 524 to 776 of the family's 1533-position model. The record is from RNAcentral.
UACGAAGGGGGCUAGCGUUGCUCGGAAUGACUGGGCGUAAAGGGCGCGUAGGCGGUUCAUAUAGUCAGAUGUGAAAUUCCUGGGCUCAACCUGGGGGCUGCAUUUGAUACGUGUGGACUAGAGUGGGGAAGAGGGUCGUGGAAUUCCCAGUGUAGAGGUGAAAUUCGUAGAUAUUGGGAAGAACACCGGUGGCGAAGGCGGCGACCUGGUCCUUGACUGACGCUGAGGCGCGAAAGCGUGGGGAGCAAACAGG